RNAcentral lists this ribosomal RNA (810 nucleotides) under Phytopythium vexans. Its description in RNAcentral is "eukaryotic LSU rRNA". It matches the Rfam family "Eukaryotic large subunit ribosomal RNA", at positions 23 to 664 of the family's 3401-position model. The record is from RNAcentral. Lineage: Eukaryota; Oomycota; Peronosporomycetes; Pythiales; Pythiaceae.
ACCCGCUGAACUUAAGCAUAUCAAUAAGCGGAGGAAAAGAAACUAACAAGGAUUCCCCUAGUAACGGCGAGUGAAGCGGGAAGAGCUCAAGCUUAAAAUCUCUGUGCAAGUUUUGCAUGGCGAAUUGUAGUCUAUGGAUGCGUUAUCAGUACAGCCGCGCGGGCCAAGUUCCUUGGAAGAGGACAGCAUGGAGGGUGAUACUCCCGUUCCUGCCUGUGCGUGUUGUGCGUACGAUACGUUUUCUUUGAGUCGCGUUGUUUGGGAAUGCAGCGCAAAGUAGGUGGUAAAUUCCAUCUAAAGCUAAAUAUUGGUGCGAGACCGAUAGCGAACAAGUACCGUGAGGGAAAGAUGAAAAGAACUUUGAAAAGAGAGUUAAAGAGUACCUGAAACUGCUGAAAGGGAACCGGGUCGUUGCCAGUGUCUAUAAUCUGCGGCAUAUUUCAUUGUCGGAUGCGGCCGUGCGGCGCGUUUGGUAGUGGGUUCGUCCUGCACCGCGUGUUGCUGUGGUUGUGUUUGGUGGUGCCCUGUGCUGUGGUGGGACGUCAGAGUCAGUUCGUAUGCUGCGGGAAAUGGCUGCUGGGGAGGUAGGUCGGGGGUUCGCCCUCGGCUGUUAUAUCCUGGUGGACUAGUCGUCGUGGUUGGGACUGAGGUGCCUACAACGUGCUUUUGAGUGUGGAGGUUUCUUCGUUUGCGCGUCGGUUGGAUAGCUUGCUAUGCAGUUGGCGUUGUGUGCGGAUGGAUGUCUUUGCUAACUUGUUGCCGUUCGGGACUUUGACGAAAUGGCGCGAUCCGACCCGUCUUGAAACACGG